UACAGAGACCUCAAGCGUUAUCCGGAAUCAUUGGGCGUAAAGCGUACCGAUAGGUGGUUUUACAAGUCAGAGGUGAAAUCUCCGAGCUCAACUCGGAAUCUGUCCUUUGAAACUGUACAACUAGAGGGGCAAAGAGGAAGCUGGAACGAACGGUGUAGUAGUGAAAUGCGUUGAUAUCGUUCGGAACACCAAUAGCGUAGGCAGGCUUCUGGGUGCCACCUGACACUGCUAGGACGAAAGCGUGGGGAGCGAAUGGG
This 257-nucleotide ribosomal RNA is filed under the name uncultured bacterium. RNAcentral's name for it is "partial 16S ribosomal RNA". It matches the Rfam family "Bacterial small subunit ribosomal RNA", at positions 524 to 776 of the family's 1533-position model. The record is from RNAcentral.